AUUAAGUGGAAUAAGGGCAUUUGGUGGAUGCCUUGGCAUGCACAGGCGAUGAAGGACGUGAUACGCUGCGAUAAGCCGUGGGGAGCUGCGAAUAAGCUUUGAUCCAUGGAUUUCCGAAUGGGGAAACCCACCUUAAAUGCUUGGGAAAUC
This 150-nucleotide ribosomal RNA is filed under the name Gillisella vitis. RNAcentral's name for it is "Agrobacterium vitis 23S rRNA 150-b fragment". It matches the Rfam family "Bacterial large subunit ribosomal RNA", at positions 1 to 152 of the family's 2925-position model. Lineage: Bacteria; Pseudomonadati; Pseudomonadota; Alphaproteobacteria; Hyphomicrobiales; Rhizobiaceae. The record is from RNAcentral.